CACUGUCACUCCUACGGGAGGCAGCAGUGGGGGAAUAUUGGACAAUGGGGGGCAACCCUGAUCCAGCAAAUGCCGCGUGUGUGAAGAAGGCCUGCGGGGUUGUAAAGCACUUUGAGUGGAAAGAAAGGGUUUCAGGGUUAAUACCCUGGGACAUUGACGUUACCCCACAGAACAAGCACCGGCUAACUCCGUGCCAGCAGCCGCGGUAAUACGGAGGGUGCGAGCGUUAAUCGGAAUUACUGGGCGUAAAGCGCGCGUAGGCGGUUUGUUAAGUUUGAUGUGAAAGCCCUGGGCUUAACCUGGGAACGGCAUUGGAUACUGGCAAGCUGGAGUGUGGUAGAGGGUGUGGAAUUUCCGGUGUAGCAGUGAAAUGCGUAGAGAUCGGAAGGAACACCAGUGGCGAAGGCGGCACCCUCGGACCAACACUGACGCUGAGGUGACGAAAGCGUGGGGAGCAAACAGGAUUAGAUACCCUGGUAG
This 480-nucleotide ribosomal RNA is filed under the name uncultured bacterium. RNAcentral describes it as "bacterial SSU rRNA". It matches the Rfam family "Bacterial small subunit ribosomal RNA", at positions 325 to 793 of the family's 1533-position model. The record is from RNAcentral.